UAAUUUUGAUAACAACUAGAAAAUCAGUUCUCAAUGACUCAAUGUUUGAAUACGAAACUGGUCUGUAGAAUCCGAGGUUGAAUCGUAGAAUAUGUGUAAAAUAUGGGAUGUACUGAAAAAUGUAUCGAUGAAAUCAAUUUGUGGGUCCGUUAAGACAUCCGGAGGUAGCCAGGGAUGCCCGAGUAAUUUUUUUUGAGCAACUCGUAACUACGACAACUAAUUUAUGUGGCAACUUAACUCCAACACAAUUUUUAAAAAUUAUGACCUAAACAACUUAAUGAAGCUUCCUAAAAUAAAUCAACAGCUGCUGAAUACAGUAUCUAUUUACCAACAUUUCCGUCACACCCUAAGGAUCUCGGACAAAAAUCAAUGUUUUUCUUAUUUGAAAUUCCCUUCAACCUUGCUACCGAGUUAUUGAUUAUAGUUAAUAGAUUUGUAUAGACCACAGGCGUAUUAAUUUGUCCAUGGUAUAGACAUUUUUUCAAAAAUUAUGUUUCUUAUUAAGUUCUAAUUAAUAAGAGGCUUUUAUAAAAAAACUUGUGCUUAAAUUGCAUAAUCUUAGAUCUUAAAAUUUUUUACUUGAUCAAUUUUUAUCCUUACAUAAUAUUUUUUUUGUACAUCUUUCAUUCUUCAUUUUUGUUAAGAGUUGUACUUUUGUACUAUCAACUUAAAAGAUAAGUAACAAAUAUUUCACAUAACAAAAAAAAUUGUAUGAUAAUAAAUGUAUUUAAGACUUACUAUAUUAUAGUAUGUAUAUACUUGUAAUAUAUAAAUAAUUUACUUUAUAAUUUAUAAUUCAUAAUUUAUACUCUAAUAAACGUAUGGGAUGAAUAUGUUAGGUGAAGACAUAUUUUGGUGUAUAAAAAUAAACGUAAUUAAAUAUACUAUUUUAAAUAUUAUUAAGCAAUCGACAUUUCUAAACGAAUACAUCAUCGUAUAACCGUGAAAACAACAGGAAGUCAUUAAAAUUCCCAGAUAGACGCUCAUUAAAAAACAAGCCCAUAUUUGGGCAUAAAUGAAAUUAAUCAAUGAUGAAAUAUCGAGCAACAACAACACAUUAUGACUCACUCAAAGGCCUAUCAAAUCAUAUCAAUUGCCGCUUCUGGUAAACACCUUCGGUCUUCACAUAAACAAAAUUAAUCAAUAAUAAGAUAUCGAACAACAACACGUAAUCAACAUUCCACAUGCUCACUCAAAGGCCCAUCAAAUCAUAUCAAGUACCUCUUCAAUUUAAUAUUAAUUUCUGCAUAAGCUGAAAUAGGUACACAACACAAUCCCAAGCAAAAAUACAAUAUCACCUCAAACUAUAAAAUGCCAAAUAGCUAAAUGUUGUACAAUGAACAAUUAUACGGCCGAUAAGCUAUACCACAUAUAACUUCAUCAAAAGGCAACUUACAAGAAUCAAUGCACAUUACAAUAUACACAAAAUAUACAAUGACGGACAUUUAAUUCUACUUCAAUAAAAGUACCUACGACCAGAACACAUAAUAAUACAACACUCGUUUAUAAUAUCAUCACUAAAAAUGUCACGUAAAAGAAGAAAAGUGACAACACCACGGGAGUACAUGUUCUAGCAAAACGUACCCUUGCAAAUAAUGUGACAAAUGCAAAAACCAACAUCCAAGAACAAAGGCAUUCGAAUGCAUGGUUCACGUGGCGAACGCAACCAGUCAAUGGUAACGUGGCACGACAACAAUUAAGUGGGAAAAAACAAUCGACCUCCUAUAUAUACACAACGCGCAAACAACAAGAACGGCUCAUUCUUGCUCUACUCUUUAUGCUCGUCGGAUCCAGCCGCAGCAAUAUACGAUGCACUGUGUCGGCGCAGUGCAUCAUCACAAUCAACAGGGCACAUCACGUCCACACAACUCGUCUCAAGAAAAACGCGAAUUUCAUUUUAAUUUGAUCUUUCUUCUCUUACAAAGUUAAUUAAAUUAUUGCGUUUAUUCUAACACCAGGUAUGAAUGAAUAUUAGCAUAUUCUGCCACAAAAAAAAUCUGUUAUUUAAAUUUAUUGCACUGCCUUAGAAAUCUCAUUCCUUAAUCCUAAUCUAUUCAUUACAUUAAGGUUUUCUAAGUGUUAUUAAAAUUAACAACAAGGUUGUAUUCCACCACAAAGGCUAAGAGUAAACGCACUGUAUUUAGAAAAAGGGACGUAGUAUUGUAUAAGUCGUAAAGUAAUAGUAACGAGCAUCGAUCCACACCCACCAGAGACGUUACCACCACAACAAGGAUCUACAUUAUCCACAUCAAUACAAGUAGGUUAUUGUGAUUGGCCAAGCAGACAUUUUUAUUUACUUUCAAAAUGCCAAGUUGUUUUGUGUGUGGCCGAACAAACAAUUCCAAUUCCAAAAAUCUUGGAAUAAGUUUCCAUCAAAUUCCAAAGAAUGAUCCAAAUUGGUUCCCAUGGUUGGAUUUUAUUCCAAAAUGUGGUGUUGACCAUUUGAAAAUUAAACCUAAGAGCAUUAUUUGCUCAGAACAUUUUUCCAAAGAUUGCUUUAAAAAUUAUAAUCGCACAAAAUUAAUAAACGAGGCAGCUGUUCCAUUCAUUAUAAUUAAACGUUUAAAAUGAGCAAAAGUUGCAAUUCCUGAGGUGAUAUACUUGUAGCCAGUAAUUCAAAUCCUUCUUUGGUUAAAUCAACUAUUUAUUUGAAAGAUUGAAAAUGAUGGUAUUCAAAUGGAAUAUGUGGAAUCUUUUGAUUCAGUUAGUGUUGAGGAACCAUCAAACUUCUCAAAUCUAAUUUUUACUGACUGGAACCAAUUCUAUUGUGCACCGUCAACAUCAUUUCUAAAGAAGCCUCAUACUCAGAAUGUAAAAUCAAGGUUUUUAAAUUCUGAAGUUGCUAAGGAAAUCAAUAAUGAUUCUCAAAGAAAAAAUAUUCAAAAUUUUACAUAUCAUCUUUAAUGUGUGAAAAUUUUGAUCAGAGAAAAAAAUUAAAGAUCUAAAUCAACGAUUAAGACAUAACAAAAAACAAAUUUCUUCUUUAAAAAUGUGCACAUAAAUAGUUAGGGCGAUGAGUAUGAAAUGUUCACUUUGACAUUUUUCAAACUUGAAACUUUUACCUUUCUUGAAAUAUUGAAAUUGAUAUUUUUUUAAUUUUGUGUUUUUGGUAUGUUUAAUACAAUCAUCAUUAAAUGGUCAAUAUUAUUUAAUUUUCCGAUCACGAUGUUGAGAAGAUACUAUAUUAUAUAAGAAAG
This is a long non-coding RNA of Myzus persicae (green peach aphid), 3197 nucleotides long. RefSeq lists it as uncharacterized. The record is from RefSeq and is a predicted model, not a curated record. NCBI's taxonomy places the organism in Eukaryota, Metazoa, Arthropoda, Insecta, Hemiptera, Aphididae. The transcript has 8 exons.